AAAGUCGUAACAAGGUCUCCGUUGGUGAACCAGCGGAGGGAUCAUUACAGAGUUGCAAAACUCCCAACCAUUGUGAACCUACCUCACCGUUGCUUCGGCGGGUGGCCCGGGGAGACCCGGGCCGCGCCGGCCCCCCUCGGGGAGCCGGCAACCCGUCAGAGGCCCCGAAACCCUAGCAUAUUGGCCUCUCUGAGUAACUUAUACAAUAAGUCAAAACUUUCAACAACGGAUCUCUUGGUUCUG
Molecule: unclassified non-coding RNA, 243 nt
Filed under: Ascomycota sp.
Lineage: Eukaryota; Fungi; Ascomycota
Description: partial contains small subunit ribosomal RNA, internal transcribed spacer 1, and 5.8S ribosomal RNA
Rfam family: Eukaryotic small subunit ribosomal RNA (bases 1-47)
Source: RNAcentral